GGCGUAGGUGGCCUAUCAAGUCGGAUGUGAAAUCUCCUGGCUCAACCGGGAGGGUGCAUUCGAAACUGAUGGGCUGGAGUGCAGCAGAGGGAGAUGGAAUUCCCGGUGUAGUGGUGAAAUGCGUAGAUAUCGGGAGGAACACUAGUGGCGAAGGCGGUCUCCUGGGAUGUAACUGACACUGAGGCCCGAAGGCGUGGGUAGCAAACAGGAUUAGAUACCCUGGUAGUCCACGCAGUAAACGAUGGAUACUAGGUAUGGGGAGUAUCGACCCUCUCCGUGCCGAGGCUAACGCUUUAAGUAUCCCGCCUGGGGACUACGGUUGCAAGACUAAA
RNAcentral lists this ribosomal RNA (332 nucleotides) under uncultured bacterium. RNAcentral's name for it is "bacterial SSU rRNA". It matches the Rfam family "Bacterial small subunit ribosomal RNA", at positions 568 to 898 of the family's 1533-position model. The record is from RNAcentral.